RNAcentral lists this microRNA precursor (206 nucleotides) under Oryza barthii. RNAcentral describes it as "MIR812 microRNA precursor family". It matches the Rfam family "MIR812 microRNA precursor family". Lineage: Eukaryota; Viridiplantae; Streptophyta; Magnoliopsida; Poales; Poaceae. The record is from Rfam by way of RNAcentral.
UAUAAGAGAUUUUGAGUUUUUUCUUACAACGUUUGACCACUCGUCUUAUUCAAAAAAAUUUUAAAAUUAUUAAUUAUUUUAUUUGUGACUUUCUUUAUUAUCUACAGUAUUUUAAGCAUAAUUUUUCGUUUUUUAUAUUUGCAAAAAAAAUUUAAAUAAGACGAGUGGUCAAGCGUUGCAAGCAAAAACUGAAAAUCCCAUUGUGG